GACGAACGCUGGCGGCGUGCUUAACACAUGCAAGUCGAACGGAAAGGCCCUGCUUUUGUGGGGUGCUCGAGUGGCGAACGGGUGAGUAACACGUGAGUAAUCUGCCCUUGACUUUGGGAUAACUUCAGGAAACUGGGGCUAAUACCGGAUAGGAGCUCCUGCUGCAUGGUGGGGGUUGGAAAGUUUCGGCGGUUGGGGAUGGACUCGCGGCUUAUCAGCUUGUUGGUGGGGUAGUGGCUUACCAAGGCUUUGACGGGUAGCCGGCCUGAGAGGGUGACCGGCCACAUUGGGACUGAGAUACGGCCCAGACUCCGACGGGAGGCAGCAGUGGGGAAUAUUGCACAAUGGGCGGAAGCCUGAUGCAGCAACGCCGCGUGCGGGAUGACGGCCUUCGGGUUGUAAACCGCUUUCGCCUGUGACGAAGCGUGAGUGACGGUAAUGGGUAAAGAAGCACCGGCUAACUACGUG
Molecule: ribosomal RNA, 468 nt
Filed under: uncultured bacterium
Lineage: Bacteria
Description: partial 16S ribosomal RNA
Rfam family: Bacterial small subunit ribosomal RNA
Source: RNAcentral